GACGAACGCUGGCGGCGUGCUUAACACAUGCAAGUCGAACGGAAAGGCCCUGCUUUUUUGGGGUGCUCGAGUGGCGAACGGGUGAGUAACACGUGAGUAACCUGCCCUUGACUUUGGGAUAACUUCAGGAAACUGGGGCUAAUACCGGAUAGGAGCUCCUGCUGCAUGGUGGGGGUUGGAAAGUUUCGGCGGUUGGGGAUGGACUGGCGGCUUAUCAGCUUGUUGGUGGGGUAGUGGGUUACCAAGGCUUUGACGGGUAGCCGGCCUGAGAGGGUGACCGGCCACAUUGGAACUGGGCUGCGGCCCGGCCUCCUACGGGAGGCAGCGGUGGGGAAGAGUGCACAAUAGGCGGAGGCCUGAUGCAGCAACGCCGCGUGGGGGAUGACGUCAUUCGGGUUGUAAACCGCUUUCGCCUGUGACGAAGCGUUAGUGACGGUAAUGGGUAAAGAAGCACCGGCUAACUACGUG
This 468-nucleotide ribosomal RNA is filed under the name uncultured bacterium. RNAcentral describes it as "partial 16S ribosomal RNA". It matches the Rfam family "Bacterial small subunit ribosomal RNA", at positions 28 to 507 of the family's 1533-position model. The record is from RNAcentral.